AUGGAGGGUAUACAGUAGGUAUGAUGGAGGGUAUACAGUAGGUAUGAUGGAGGGUAUACAGUAGGUAUAAUGGAGGGUAUACAGUAGGUAUAAUGGAGGGUAUACAGUAGGUAUGAUGGAGGGUAUACAGUAGGUAUGAUGGAGGGUAUACAGUAGGUAUGAUGGAGGGUAAACAGUAGGAUGGAGGGUACAUAAGGUAUGAUGGAGGGUAUACAGUAGGUAUGAUGGAGGGUAUACAGUAGGUAUGAUGGAGGGUACACAUCAGGUAUGAUGGAGGGUAUACAGUAGGUAUGAUGGAGGGUAUACCAUUGGUAUGAUGGAGGGUACAUAAGGUAUGAUGGAGGGUAUACAGAAGGUAUGAUGGAGGGUAUACAGUAGGUAAAAUGGAGGGUAUACAGUAGGUAUGACGGAGG
Long non-coding RNA from Oncorhynchus tshawytscha (Chinook salmon), 413 nucleotides. NCBI's taxonomy places the organism in Eukaryota, Metazoa, Chordata, Actinopteri, Salmoniformes, Salmonidae. The record is from Ensembl.